AGGACGAACGCUGGCGGCGUGCCUAAUGCAUGCAAGUCGAGCGACGGAUAGGUGCGGGUAACCAAGCCUAUUACGGAGCGGCGAACGGGUGAGUAACACGUGAGCAACCUGCCCCGCAGAUCGGGAUAGCCCAGGGAAACUUGGAUUAAUACCGGAUAUUCUCCUUUAACCACAUGAUUGUUGGAGGAAACGCUUUUGCGCUACGGGAUGGGCUCACGGCCUAUCAGCUUGUUGGUGGGGUAACGGCCUACCAAGGCUACGACGGGUAGCUGGUCUGAGAGGACGAUCAGCCACACUGGGACUGAGACACGGCCCAGACUCCUACGGGAGGCAGCAGCAGGGAAUCUUGCGCAAUGGGCGAAAGCCUGACGCAGCAACGCCGCGUGGGGGAUGGAAGGCCUUCGGGUUAGUAAACCCCCGUUUAGGAGGACGAAAGUUGACGGUACCUCCGAGAAGUAACGACCCGGCCAACUACGUGCCAGACACGCCGAC
RNAcentral lists this ribosomal RNA (492 nucleotides) under uncultured soil bacterium. RNAcentral's name for it is "bacterial SSU rRNA". It matches the Rfam family "Bacterial small subunit ribosomal RNA", at positions 26 to 521 of the family's 1533-position model. The record is from RNAcentral.